This 978-nucleotide ribosomal RNA is filed under the name Triticum aestivum (bread wheat). RNAcentral describes it as "partial small subunit ribosomal RNA". The record is from RNAcentral. Lineage: Eukaryota; Viridiplantae; Streptophyta; Magnoliopsida; Poales; Poaceae.
UACCUGCAGUUCGGGCCGCUGCACGGCGCGCACGAGCUCGCGAUGGGCCUCGAGGAGCCGAAGUUCGAGCUCCCGUGGUACUCGUGGAGGCAGCGGAUGGAGCAGCCGUAGCCGCAGCGGUCCGCCGUCUAGCCGCCGCAGUAGACCCAUCGCUAAAGACCAGCACUUCCCCCAGCUGCGGCCGGCAACCUCGGCUUGGUUGUCGCUUCGCCCGCGUGCUGGCGUGCUCCCGUGGCGGCAUCGUAGGCUAAGAAGGGUGUACUAGGUUGGGGCGGACGGCCGAGCCGAGCACCCUACCCUCGUAGUAGGGCGCGGGCGGGCGGGCGUGGCGGCGUGCUCGGCCCGUGCAUUGCAUUGGAGCGGUUGCCAGCGGGAGAGGAGCAACGGAGCGGCAGAAAUAUUAGGGCCCGAGCAGACCCGUAGUGUGUGGUGGCGGUGUAGUGAGAUGAGGUGGAUGGACAGAGCGCGAGGAACAAGUGUAGUAGAGGGAAGCGAAAGGGAAGCCGCGAAGCUCUCUCUCUUCCUUCUUCCUUCUACCGCCUGCUCCCCUGCCGGUUGACGUAGCUGUAGUAGGAGCGGUAGUAGGACGGCGGCGAGCCGCAGAAGAAGUUCAAGCGGACACCCCACUUGGUACCGCUUGAACAAGACACAGAUCAUGUUCGGCAAACAGACUCUGCGCUCGGUGCCAAGUACCACGACGGAUGCACACACAACUACGACAACAUGUAGACACAACAACAGGCACGAACUACUAAUCGGAGGAGAGGACAGUGGAAGGGAAGAGGUCACAUCACAUAGGUAGGUCAACACAACAAGGAGGCGCGUAAAAGCAGCAGGUACAUGAAACUUGAAACUAAUUAAUUAAUUAGUUAGUUAACUAACCACCUCUUCAAAAGUCAACAAGAGCUCGCAAGGAACGCGUUAAAAGGAAGGUAGGCUAACCAAAACAACCAACCGCUCAAGGGGCACGACAUCGCA